This 486-nucleotide ribosomal RNA is filed under the name uncultured Fusibacter sp. RNAcentral's name for it is "bacterial SSU rRNA". It matches the Rfam family "Bacterial small subunit ribosomal RNA", at positions 900 to 1382 of the family's 1533-position model. The record is from RNAcentral. Lineage: Bacteria; Bacillati; Bacillota; Clostridia; Eubacteriales; Fusibacteraceae.
CUUAAAGGAAUUGACGGGGACCCGCACAAGCAGCGGAGCAUGUGGUUUAAUUCGAAGCAACGCGAAGAACCUUACCAGAUCUUGACAUCCAAUUGACCAUCUUUUAAUCGAGAUUUUGCCUUCGGGUACAAUUGAGACAGGUGGUGCAUGGUUGUCGUCAGCUCGUGUCGUGAGAUGUUGGGUUAAGUCCCGCAACGAGCGCAACCCUUGUGUUUUAGUUGCAAACAGGUCAAGCUGUGCACUCUAGACAGACUGCCGUGGACAACACGGAGGAAGGUGGGGAUGACGUCAAAUCAUCAUGCCCCUUAUGAUCUGGGCUACACACGUGCUACAAUGGCCGGUACAACGGGCAGCGAAGGAGCGAUCCGGAGCGAAUCCUAAAAAGCCGGUCCCAGUUCGGAUUGCAGGCUGAAACUCGCCUACAUGAAGUUGGAGUUGCUAGUAAUCGCGAAUCAGAAUGUCGCGGUGAAUGCGUUCCCGGGUCUU